Molecule: ribosomal RNA, 571 nt
Filed under: Aureobasidium melanogenum
Lineage: Eukaryota; Fungi; Ascomycota; Dothideomycetes; Dothideales; Saccotheciaceae
Description: partial large subunit ribosomal RNA
Rfam family: Eukaryotic large subunit ribosomal RNA
Source: RNAcentral
GGAUUGCCCUAGUAACGGCGAGUGAAGCGGCAACAGCUCAAAUUUGAAAGCUGGCCUUCGGGUCCGCAUUGUAAUUUGUAGAGGAUGCUUUGGGUGAAACGCCAGUCUAAGUUCCUUGGAACAGGACGUCAUAGAGGGUGAGAAUCCCGUAUGUGACUGGAAAUGUUAACCUAUGUAAAGCUCCUUCGACGAGUCGAGUUGUUUGGGAAUGCAGCUCUAAAUGGGAGGUAAAUUUCUUCUAAAGCUAAAUAUUGGCGAGAGACCGAUAGCGCACAAGUAGAGUGAUCGAAAGAUGAAAAGCACUUUGGAAAGAGAGUUAAAAAGCACGUGAAAUUGUUGAAAGGGAAGCGCUUGCAAUCAGACUUGUUUAAACUGUUCGGCCGGUCUUCUGACCGGUUUACUCAGUUUGGACAGGCCAGCAUCAGUUUCGGCGGCCGGAUAAAGGCUCUGGGAAUGUGGCCUUCACUUCGGUGAAGGUGUUAUAGCCCAGGGUGUAAUACGGCCAGCCGGGACUGAGGUCCGCGCUUCGGCUAGGAUGCUGGCGUAAUGGUUGUAAGCGACCCGUCUUGAA